Gadus morhua (Atlantic cod) is the source of this 217-nucleotide small nucleolar RNA. Its record names the gene U3. It matches the Rfam family "Small nucleolar RNA U3". From Rfam's summary of the family: Small nucleolar RNAs (snoRNAs) are involved in the processing and modification of rRNA in the nucleolus. There are two main classes of snoRNAs: the box C/D class, and the box H/ACA class. U3 snoRNA is a member of the box C/D class. Lineage: Eukaryota; Metazoa; Chordata; Actinopteri; Gadiformes; Gadidae. The record is from Ensembl.
AAGAUCAUACUUUCAGGGAUCAUUUCUAUAGUCUUUGACUUGAGAAAUAUCGUAUGAAAGUGAUCGGUUACUCUAACCACGAUGAAGAGAACUGAUGUUUCCUGCUGAGCGCGAAGCGGGCAGUGAGUGAUGAUGCAUUUCAUCCGCUCCUUGUCAUUGAUCCGUGUUUCCAUGCUCUCUAGUGGAGCCUAGAUUUAGGCGGCAUGAUCAGAGUGGU